Lynx canadensis (Canada lynx) is the source of this 165-nucleotide small nuclear RNA. Its record names the gene U1. It matches the Rfam family "U1 spliceosomal RNA". Rfam says of the family: U1 is a small nuclear RNA (snRNA) component of the spliceosome (involved in pre-mRNA splicing). Its 5' end forms complementary base pairs with the 5' splice junction, thus defining the 5' donor site of an intron. The record is from Ensembl. Lineage: Eukaryota; Metazoa; Chordata; Mammalia; Carnivora; Felidae.
AUACUUACCUGGCAAGGGAGAUACCAUGAUCAGCGAAGGUGGUUUUCCCAGGGCGAGGCUUAUCCAUUGCACUCCGGAUGUGUUGACCCCUGCGAUUUCCCCAAAUGUGGGAAACUUGACUGCACAAUUUGUGGUAGUGGGUGACUGCAUUCGCGCUUUCCCCUG